This 85-nucleotide microRNA precursor is filed under the name Cercocebus atys (sooty mangabey). Its description in RNAcentral is "miRNA (ENSCATG00000019893.1)". Lineage: Eukaryota; Metazoa; Chordata; Mammalia; Primates; Cercopithecidae. The record is from RNAcentral.
GUAUUAGGUUGGUGCAAAAGUAAUUGCAGUUUUUGCCAUUGCUUUUAAUUUCAAAAAACAUGAUUACUUUUACAACAACCUAAUA